RNAcentral lists this ribosomal RNA (1380 nucleotides) under Triticum aestivum (bread wheat). Its description in RNAcentral is "partial small subunit ribosomal RNA". Lineage: Eukaryota; Viridiplantae; Streptophyta; Magnoliopsida; Poales; Poaceae. The record is from RNAcentral.
AUGAAGAUCGCCGCGAACGCCCGACGUAGGCGGCGACAGGACCGCCUGAGCAAGCUCAGCGACGCCACGCUGGGGCGCAUCCUCUCUUUCCUCCCAUCCAAGGAGGCGGCGCGCGCGGCCUUGCUCUCGAGCCGGUGGCACGACGCCUUCGCCGGGGUCGACGCCGUGUCGCUGGAGGAGCCCGAGAGCCCCCUCCCGAACUACGAGAACCACGGCGGCUGCGGCUGCAUGGACUGCACCUACGGCCGCCCCGUCGACCCCAACCCGAAGCCGCCCUUCACCACCGCCGUCACCGCCGCCCUCCUCGCGCGCCACCGCGUGCCCCAGGCACCCGCGCCGCCGCUGCGUGCCCUCCGCGUCGCCCUCAAUGGUUACCACCGCGAGAGGGCCUCGACGGUGGACCAUUGGCUGUCCUACGUCCUCAAGCAGGCCGCCCCUGCACCUCAUAGGCUCGAGCUCGACCUCCGCCUCCUCGGCCGCGAGCCCAUCUGCAAUCGCCCUUACUCCCUCCGCGCCGCCGCCAGCAGCUUGAAAGACGCGCGCCGUGCUCGUCAUAAACGCAGACGCACCCCCGACUCCGAUGCGGAUGAAGCGAGCCGCCGCACGAUUCGCAAACGGCGGGUGUCGGUCUCUAACGACGAUUCCGAGCCGGACUACCAUGGGUACACCGUCCCGAGGAUGCUUUUCUCCUCCGUCGCCCUGCGGUCGCUCAGCAUCGGCCCCUGCAAGCUCUCCGUGCCUGCCGCCGUCAGCCUGCCGUCUCUCCAGACACUCCUCACGCGUGUAUCUGACCGAGAGCGACACGUGCAGAGGCUCAUCGACGCCUGCCCUCGCCUCGCCGACCUCACCCUCGAGGCCUGCGCCACGGUGACCACACUCUGCCUCCUCGGCAACCGCCGCCUUCGCAAGCUCGCGCUCCGGUGCUGCCACAACCUGACCGUCGUGGCCAUCAAUGGCAAGCUAGACUCCCUGGAGUACCGCGGCGCGGUGCCCGACACGUCUCUCCUGUCCCUUCGCCGUGCCGACCGCUCGAGUUUCAAGUCGUGCAGUAUCGAUAUCUGUGGCGAGGAGGUCUCGUCGGCGGAGGAGCUCACUAAACUCGGAGAGUUUCUGCAGCGAGUUACGUCCACCAAUCACCUGCACCUGCGGUCCGAGCGCCUAGGCUCCGGCAUACAACUCGGCGCCAUGGCCAAGUUACCAGCGUUCACCAACCUUGUCCACCUCGAGCUAAGGGCGCCUCCCGCACGAAGACAGCGACGCCGCCAUCCCCGCCUUGAGAAGGAUCCUCCGGCACGCGCCGAGCCUAGAGGUGCUCUCGCUGGCCUUCGACACGGGCCCCGGCGACGAGGAGUUGCGCGCCACCCGCGAAAGCUGGGAUGA